Small nuclear RNA from Globicephala melas (long-finned pilot whale), 164 nucleotides. RefSeq annotates it as U1 spliceosomal RNA. The record is from RefSeq and is a predicted model, not a curated record. Lineage: Eukaryota; Metazoa; Chordata; Mammalia; Artiodactyla; Delphinidae.
AUACUUACCUGGCAGAGGAGUUACCCUGGUCACGAAGGUGCUUUUGCUAGGCUGAGGUUUAUCCAUUGCACUUCGGGUUUACUGACUCCUGCGAUUUUCUCAAAUGUGGGAAACUCAACUGCAAAAUUUAUGGUGGUGAGGGACUGCGUUCGCGCUUUCCCCUG